This 491-nucleotide ribosomal RNA is filed under the name uncultured bacterium. Its description in RNAcentral is "partial 16S ribosomal RNA". It matches the Rfam family "Bacterial small subunit ribosomal RNA", at positions 29 to 507 of the family's 1533-position model. The record is from RNAcentral.
AGUGAACGCUGGCGGUAGGCCUAACACAUGCAAGUCGAACGGCAGCACAGUAAGAGCUUGCUCUUACGGGUGGCGAGUGGCGGACGGGUGAGGAAUACAUAGGCAUCUACUUUUUCGGGGGGGAUAACGUGGGGAAACUUACGCUAAUACAGCAUACGACCUACGGGUGAAAGCAGGGGAUAUUCGGACCUUGCGCGAUUGAAUGAGCUGAUGUCGGAUUAGCUAGUGGGCGGGGUAAAGGCAACCAAGGCGACGAUCCGUAGCUGGUCUGAGAGGGUGAUCAGCCACACUGGAACUGAGACACGGUCCAGACUCCUACGGGAGGCAGCAGUGGGGAAUAUUGGACAAUGGGCGCAAGCCUGAUCCAGCCAUACCGCGUGGGUGAAGAAGGCCUUCGGGUUGUAAAGCCCUUUUGUUGGGAAAGAAAAUCAGCAGGUUAAUACCCCGCUGUUCUGACGGUACCCAAAGAAUAAGCACCGGCUAACUUCGUG